CGGUAACAGGAAGAAGCUUGCUUCUUUGCUGACGUGUGCCAGACGGGUGAGUAAUGUCUGGGAAACUGCCUGAUGGAGGGGGAUAACUACUGGAAACGGUAGCUAAUACCGCAUAACGUCGCAAGACCAAAGAGGGGGACCUUCGGGCCUCUUGCCAUCGGAUGUGCCCAGAUGGGAUUAGCUAGUAGGUGGGGUAACGGCUCACCUAGGCGACGAUCCCUAGCUGGUCUGAGAGGAUGGCCAGCCACACUGGAACUGAGACACGGUCCAGACUCCUACGGGAGGCAGCAGUGGG
This 295-nucleotide unclassified non-coding RNA is filed under the name uncultured bacterium. RNAcentral's name for it is "partial contains 16S ribosomal RNA and 16S-23S ribosomal RNA intergenic spacer region". It matches the Rfam family "Bacterial small subunit ribosomal RNA", at positions 67 to 358 of the family's 1533-position model. The record is from RNAcentral.